AUGAGGGGAGAGGAGGCUCAAGGAAGUGGUAGCUCAAAGGGGCAGCAAGGUGAUGAAAUUAAAGCAGAAAGGCUUGUGCAGGACCAGGCCUCUUCCUGGAUCAUGGUUUCAUGGACUGCCACAGGCAAGGAGGCCUCUUCAUCAGAUGGCCAACCGGCCCCUGACCAGCCAGGCUGGGCUCUGCAGCAGCUGGCUCCCGGAGCUCCAGGAGAGCGCCUGCCCCACCAUCAUGCUGCUGGAGAGCCCAGAGCAGCCCCCACAUGCGCUCUCUGCCUGCUUGCUUACACCCCAAUCCCUCCCCUCAAACAGACGAGAAGCAAAGGGCCAGAGGAAGGACGGAGGGAGGUAAAGUGCCCAGUGCUCAAAGCUUUGCUCCUCUCCCCAAGCCAGGGGCACUAACUGCAGUCAAAGGGCACAAGGCAUCAGACAAGGCCACAGCCCUCCGCCCGGAGCCCUAGUGUUCAGAGCUUGAGGGCGGGGGGAGGACGUGUCAGAGACCCCUCAGAGGUCGUCCAGCCUCUUCCCCACUUCUGGCUUCCUGUCCGGGGCACUACCAGCCAAUUUAACACCCUCUACUCUGGUCCCCCUCCCCGGGCCCAACCACGCACUGUUAGAGCCUCUCGAUUCACCUCUAUCUGACAUCCGUUCCCUUGGCAGGCCCUCACUGAUAAACCCCAGGACUGCUGUGAGACCCCUCCCCUCCCAGGCUCUCCUCUACUCAUCUGCCCAAUUAAUCUUUUGGGAAGACCCUCUCCUUAACCCAGGUCUGUCCGCAUCACCCUCCUCGUCAGUCCCUUCCAGGAACAAAUCACAAUUCUCUGAUUGGUAUUCAGCCUUUCCCAACCUGGCCUCCUCUUACCUUUCGGGUCUUUUUACCGUACUUCCUGCCUUCCCCUCCCCAACUCUUCCACCCAGGGGCAUGGCCUCCUUGCUGCUCCUCACAAGACUGGGGCCUUCUCCCUGGCUGUCCUUCCUCCACGCCUGGAAGGUGCUCCCUCCCCAUUUCAGUCUGCUGGCUUCCUCCAAGGCCUGGCAGAAAUCCCAGAGAGCUCUUCUGAGAGCCCCUCAAUUCCAAUGUCUUCUCUCCACUGAUAUGAAUGUCAAUAGAUCAGCUCUAUUGAAGUAGCUCCAAUUGAUCCUGCAGAAAACCUGUUGGCACAGGGCUUUGGUCUUUCUUUUAUGCCCAUCCAUUAGGGUGGUGCCCGGAACAGCCUGGGCACAUCAUAAAUGCUUACUAAGGCCCCUUGCUCGGCGAACUCUAGUGGCUCCCUGGGGCCUCGAGGAUCCAACACGUUGCUCUGCUGAGCACUGGAAGCCCUUCACCACUGGAUUCUACUUUCUCUUUUCUCCUCU
Molecule: long non-coding RNA, 1353 nt
Filed under: Monodelphis domestica (gray short-tailed opossum)
Lineage: Eukaryota; Metazoa; Chordata; Mammalia; Didelphimorphia; Didelphidae
Description: lncRNA (ENSMODG00000039190.1)
Source: RNAcentral